This 5824-nucleotide long non-coding RNA is filed under the name Homo sapiens (human). RNAcentral's name for it is "HSALNT0397262". Lineage: Eukaryota; Metazoa; Chordata; Mammalia; Primates; Hominidae. The record is from RNAcentral.
GGCGCUCUCGCAGGCCCCGAGGCCGACAGUCCCGGCGAGGGCGGGCGCCCCGCGCUCCAGCACCGGCUGCCUGAGCGCUCCUGGAGCAGCAAACCCCAGACUUCUUCCUCCUUCUCUCCUUCCUUCCUUCCCCCUCCCCUUAUCUUUUUCUUUUUUUAGUCUCUUUCUCCCUCUUUUUCUGCCCUGUGUCCUUUUUAUUUUUUCUCUACGACUGUUUUUGCAAGUUUGUUUCAAAAGUUCACAGCAUGCUUUCUUUUCUUUUAGACCGGGAGACAGUGAUCUCACCCACACGGUAAGAUCAAAAGUCUCCGCUCGCCCAGCCUGCGGGCUUGGGCUGGGUCCAGACGUCUCCCAGGAUGCAGAUGCGCCGCCGCUGGCCUCCCCGGCUAUAAAGCCGCCUCCAGCGCCUUUCCGCGCGCAGGAGCGCUCGGAGUUGUGGGGUACGGACCCCAGGCGGGGCAGGGAGUCCGAGGCGGGCUGCGGCGGGGCUCUCGGGCUGGCGGACUCGGGGGCUGAGGCGCCGUGCGCGUUGGGUGCCCGCGGCCGCAGAGGCCAGAACCGCUACUCCUCCAGGCCGGGGAGACGCGGCCGUGGAGCGUGAAACGCUUCUUGCAAGCGAGGAAACGGUCAGCAGUUCUAGAAGAAUCUUUCUGGACAAAAGACCUGGAGUUGGCACUUUUGGCUGCCACUCAACAUUGAAUGGCCUCUAGCUGUGACCCAUCUUGGGACAAGAAAAUAAACUCUCCUAGGUUUGUUCUAGUGCCUGAAGAGAACAGGUUGCAGUAUCUCCAACUGCAAAGCAGGUGCGUGGAGCCACAUUCCUUCUGUUGAGCAAAGCCCUUCAGAGGGGCCCACGGGCAGGUGAGUCCUCCUCCCUUAACACAAUAUCACAGACAGUCCAGCCUCCAAGCCUCAAAGGGCAGAGCAAAAGGGCCAAAGAGGAGAUGGCAGGCACAGCCUGGACUGUCUGAGAUUUCAGAUCCGCAGAGGAAAAGUUGGCAAGCGUCGGGACCAACAUUCUUCUACCAUUAACACUCACCUAGGAAUAAUAUCUAUAUUUUGGGCUGGCACUUCAGGUUUACUGUCUCGUAUAAUCUCAACAACCUGGGAGGUAGAUGCAUUCAUAUUCUUAUUUUGCAGAUGAGGCAAUUGAUCCUCCGACAGGUUGAGGAGCACCUGCAAGGUCUCAGACAGGUGGUAAGUAUCAGAAAGAGAGGGUUUAAAUGCAGAUUCGGUCUGAUUCUGCAGGAGAUCUCAUACCUGAACAGGUGAGUCAUCGUCACGUUUCAGGAGCAACCACCAGGGCAUGCUGAACUUCCUAAGGCAGUAGGGUGACCAGCUGCCUUGGUUUGCCGGAGACUGGGGGUUUCCCAGGACACAAGACUUGCAAUGCUAAAACUGGGAAAGUUCUGGACAGACUGGGACAAGCUGGUUCCCUUAUCUGGAAGUGAGAAUAAAACAUAAGCUACUAAGAGUGCUGUGACUUUAAACUGUAAAAUCAAAAUAAGUAGCAAACCAGUGGUUUGUGGGUAGGAUGUGAGUCUCUGGCGAGUUUCUUUUUAACUGCAUGGAGUUCCUAAGGCAUUUUACACAGAUUGCAUUUGAAAUGCCAGAGUUGUUGCAUAGAAAGUUGGACCUCGGGCUUUCAAAAAAUAGAAAGAGCAGGUCUUGGAAGGCUACAGUCCCAGCAAGGGUGAUGGCUCCUUUCGUAAUUCUCAGUUCCUGCUGGCCAACCUUAUUCAUUAGACCAUGGGCUUGGCUCUUGGAGACAGUCAAUGUUUUCCGUAGAGAAUAUUACCCCGCAGUGGCCAGGAAGCAAAUGCCAAUAGAUCUCCAAAAUAUUUGAUCAUACCAAUGGAUUGCCUAGAAUAUCCUGUGGUCUUUCUGUUGCCUUUGAGAGAACGUCAUGGAAUACCAGGUGGGGGUGGGGCAGGUGAGCUCAGGGUAGCAAGGAUUCUGACAUAGCAAAGGGAAAUUCUGUAUGGGACAGACUCAAAGGUCCCAGAUGCCCUCUCAAAUGAAGAUGGCAAUAUUCCAAAUAUUCAUUGAUCCAUAAGCAUCUCACGGCAGGUAUAAGAUCUGGGAGAACUCAUCUUAUUCCAUCCCCAGGAAACAAACAUCCCUUCUUGGGCAAUGUCUCCAGGCCACGCUUCUCAUCCGCAGAGCAGGUGCCUGUUCUCCCCGGGCCAUCUGACAGGGGAGAUAGAAAAUCUGCAAGAGAAAGCUCACAGCACGGGGCUGAGCCCUGGAGGGGAAGCACAGAGGCCUGUAUUCUAAUUCACUGAUGAUCAAUUUGCAAGUUCUUUUUCUCUUAGUUCCCUUAGUUUCCUUCCAGGUAAUGCAGAAUUCCUUGAAGCUUCUCUAGGUUGUUUUACUUUGCAAUCUUUGGUCAGAAGGUCUUUCUCAUGUUAACAGGUGAGUUAAGGUAAGAGCCCCAGACUCCUGGGCUUCCCCCAGCCCACUCCAUGAUCCCAAAAGAGAUUCCACUGGGGGAUACAGUUUGAAUCACCUGAACUAGACAAUUAUUACAGCUUCUCUUCCAGGUUGAAUAUUUCAGGGUCCCUUGCCAAACAGGGGAAGAUCUUGUUAAACCAAAAUCCCAAAUAGAUUUCAAAUAUGCUGGAAGUUUACAUGACCCUAAAGACUGCUCUCCAUGAGAGACUCAGGGGCUGGGGUAGUACCUUCUAAAUUUCCAUGGGAAAAUGAACAUGCUCCAGCAAGAGCUUGGGAAAAGAAGAUAGUCCCUAAGUUUUAUUGUUUGAAAUUUGUCACUCAAGGAUGUGAACGUGUCGCUGACAAUUAUGUAGCAUCUCAGAGCUCAGAAAGCACUUUUGCAUCGAUUAUUUCAUUUCUUGUUCGUGCCAAUUGUGUGAGGUGGACAACGUUAUGUUCAUAUGAGAAAUGCAGCCCAGAGAGGCUCAAACCCAGCACUUUUAACUCCCAAUCUCCCUCUUUUCUCAGUACCAUGUGGUAAGUCUUUAUUAACCAGAGUGUCCAAUUAACCAGAACAUGCCUGUGUCUUAGGGAUCAUCCCAGACUGAUUUUCUUUGCAGAAAACCCCAGGGAGCCACAGCCUUUCCUGCACCUCCUUUUGUUAGCUGUAUGUUUUUUUAGCGGCCCAGUGAGGCCUGCAUUUCAGAGCCUGUGUUGCAAAGCUCAUUGCUGUGGAGGAGACGGUUAUGGGCUGGGGCCUGGGUCUUCCGCCCCUUCCUGGCAGACCAGGAGCUUCAGUUGCUCUCUGUGAAGUUCUUCUUUGCAGGAGCCUGACACAGACGACAGCCCCAGGUAAUCCCUAUUCUUCAAGACCAAGCCAGGGAAAAUCUUCCAGAUGUUCUUGCUACUCACCCCGACCUUGCGGUCUUACCCUUCUGGCUGAACAAGAGACAAACAGCUCCUCUCCACUUGGCUGUGUGCGGCUUAACGAAUGCGUAUGAAGACCGUAUAAAUAAUUCACAUCACUCAAGAGGUGGCGAGCUGAACAAGUCCCUUCUGGUUACAUUUAUUUCAAGAUAAGGUGAAACUAAGUGAGUGAUGGCCCAGUUACAGAGGCCAGGGUCCAAAGGGGAUUGGGACACUCUAAGUUACACCACCAGAGUGAUUUGUGCAGAACUGUGUCAACUUAGAGAUCCUGGCACCUUGGGGGAAAGGGAAAUGUCUUAUCUCUAAGAAAAGUGAUACAGGAUGAGUAUUUUCCAAGUACAGCCUAUAAGCUAAUUCUGCAGAAUCAAUUUGGCUCUGCCAGGAACCAAGUUUCUGCUUUAAUCUAAGAGGAACUCUGAAUUAGUAACCUUGCACAUGUUGUCUUCCCUUGGAAAUGUCACUAAGGGACUCUUCGAAGCAUGGGUGUGGGUCCUUGGUGUAGGUCCUCUAGGUGCAUGAGGUGGCACUUUCCAGAAGCAUGGGUGAACCUCCCAAGGGAGUCCAGAGUCUUUUAUUGGAAUCAAUGGAUGAGAAAAAUAUUGUUUUGCAACUUGAGUGAAUGUGGCCUCCAUGAUCAAAACCUGGACUAGAAAAGCCUGUGGAGUGGCCCUAGAACAGGGCAAGGUAGAGAGGAGAGUUUUCUCCUGCUGUGAAUUUACCACUCAUUCCUGUAUUGUAGCCACAUGCUUUAAUUUUUUUUCUUCUCCCUUUUCCCACAGUGCCCCCUAAAUAUUUCCACUGAAGACUUUUAGAACUUUGGAAUAAGGAAAUUGUAUCUCCAGCUGACAAUAAAAUUUACGAAGCAAAGAAUGCCUCCGUUAAUACUUUCCAAACGUCUUUGUUUUUGAACGAGCAAGAUGCUGAGAACCUUCCAAUUCAGUAACCCUGCCUCUGACAGGCAGCAGAACAGUUAGCAAGGUUGACAGAUAGAUGCAGCCACACGAUGCAAUAAUCCUUGCUGCACUGAACUUUGUAUUUAAACACUUAUUUUAUGUUUAAUUAAUUUCUCCAAAGAGGAAAACUUCCAGGCUGCCUUUGAAGCCGGCUGUUUGUUUAAGAUAUUUUGUUUUAAGAAUAAGAGAAAAAAAGGAAGGAAGGAAACGGAGGGAAAAUGUUUAUGUUUUUCCUGUUGUUUUUUCAAAUAUGAUGUGACAUUGUGAAAAGGCCUCCUGAAAGUGCAAUUUUUUGUUUGUGAUGGAAGAGAGAUGCACCUAUGAGUCUUACAUCAUCAAAGAAACAGACGCUUAUCUAUAAUUUAUGCUUUGCUUUAAGCUUCUGCUGAUCUGAUGUGGCUUUUUUAAGACAACACAGGCAGCCCUGGCAUCACUUGUCAAUCAUCGGGGCAUGCUCAAAUCGUAGACCAUUAGCAGGAGGGACGGCAGAGUUUCUUUAAUGACGCUUUUAUACGGGGCAUCCUGGCAGUGAAACAGAGAGGGUUUGAUUUGAUCAAUGCAUUAGCCUAAUCACAGCGUUCCUGCUCUUAAUUUCUUUUGUCGGCAAUUUCCAUACAUGGGUUGCGUUCAGGGUUCUGGCAAAAACCCGUUCAGAACUCCGUGUGACAUGUGCAGUCACCUUGCCCGGAUUUCUCUCGGUGGGAAGCGACGUCUGCAAGAGAGGGGACGGCGGCUGGGCUGGAUGGCUGCCUUUGAGUCCGUCCUGCGGUGAGGCUGGGGAAGGCCCAUUCCACGCGAGCCUUGGCUUCAGCCCUGAGGUGCCUGCCAGCCCCCGUGGCAGACCCCGGCCCUGCCAAUUUCAGCCCCCUUGGUGAUUCUGUUCCAGCGCUCGCCAAAAGCAGAAUCCGUGUAUAAUGAACAAGUUUCAUGUUCAACAUUUUAAGUGUCUAUUUAUGAGUCCCAGUAAUUAGCCCUUUGUCUGCAAUUCUGGCGAUGAUGAUUAGAAUUCCAUCUCACGUUAUGAAUGCUGCUCCCCAAACUUGUCCUUCUCGCCUGGAGAAUCCCAAGCAGGUGGGCACCUGAAAGGCAAAGAAAGGGGGCGAUUUGGGGAGUGGCCGGUCUCUUCUUUUACCAGCCCUCCAGCAGCCUCCUUCCUUUGAUCCCAUUCUUCCCUGGCUGUAUGUAAUUUCAGACUUCUCAGAAUCCAUUUUCCUGGCUUUUGUUCUGAAACUUGUUUUCUUCUCAUCCUCCACUGUCAUCCCCAAAGGGUGCAUUUUUUUAUAUCAUGCCCUACACAUGAUAUUUGUACCUUUUGCAAAAUCUUGUCAGGAUGCUAUGAGGUUUGAGAGUCUUUCCAAACGAAUCAUUCUCAGAAUCAAAAUAUUAUGAAGGAGGCCAAAUUAUCUCUAAUUAUAACCUCCAGAAAAGUGGAGAACUUUUUCAACAAACAGAACAGGGUGUUUUCAACAGGGUGUAAUUCUGCUUUUGUGAAACGGGCAGGAGGCUGUCUU